Molecule: long non-coding RNA, 3921 nt
Organism: Oryzias sinensis (Chinese medaka)
Lineage: Eukaryota; Metazoa; Chordata; Actinopteri; Beloniformes; Adrianichthyidae
Source: Ensembl
AAAUAUAUAUAUUAUAUUCUAAUAUUUAAUAACAUUGUCGGAUCUUUACCUAACUACAGCUCCCAGAAUGCUUUGGGGCACUAAGCGGAUAUACAAUUGUGAGGUCAGAGUUCAUUGUGGGGGUUUCAAUUUUCCAAACUCCUGUCGCCAUGUGGCCAUGGUUUACACGCGUUAUUCUUUGUCGUUGUAGGAUUAUUUAGUGUCUGUGGAUCUUCUGGUUGUUUGUUUGAAACAAAUAAAUAAAAAAUGGACGCGAGUUCAUCAAAGCACGAACUGACGCAGCUGAUCUACCAACACCUGAAGGAGCAUGGCUUCAGUUCAGCAGCAGAUGAGCUUCGGAGGCACAGCCCACAGGAGGGCACAGAAACGUCUGUGUCCUUACUGGAUAUCUACAAAGCAUGGCGUAGAAACUCCAAAAGGAAGCAAAACUCAGUUAAACGCUCCACUUCAGGGAAGAAAAAAGAAGCUCCAGCUGCAGGUUUGUGCUUUUUAUAAUCAUUUAGAGUUUAGACACUUAAAGCAGAGUCUGAAUUACUGAUGUGUUAUACUAAAAUAAUUCUAGUACCAAAGUUGUGUAAAAAUAUCCAUGUCUAAACUUGGACAAUAACAUUUAAUCUUUGUGAAAAUGUUCAAGCUCUCAGUGUUACAAUUUUUUGACAUAUAUUAUUAUCUUGAUUUGUCCAGACAAAUCCACGUCACCAAGAAAGACGACUGGCAGUCCUGCAAAAAAGGUGAGUUUUGAUGAUCUUGUUUAUUUUUUUAUUUCUGUUUGAGUUUGUCAUUUUCCUCUGCUCUGUUCUUUAUCCUUUCUUUAAAAGACUGUUAAAGCAAAACAGAAGAAAAAUGAAGGAAAAACUUCCAAAGAUGGCAGCAUCUCAAAAAAAUCAGAGUCUGGCUCAACGGUUGAGGGUUCAGACUCUGACAGCAGUCUGGAUGUAGAGAAGUGGAAAAAGAUGGUCCUGCAGAUGACGGAGGCCGAUUUGGCCAAGAUGGAGCUCAUCGACGCUCUGGACUCCUCCAAACCCAAGAAAAAGAGAGUCAGAAAGCCCAGAGCAAAGCCUGUGGCAAAAACCCACACUCCCAGUGAGCAGAAUGCUGAUCUGGACACAAAGGAAGAAACCACCACGACACCAGUGAAAAAAAGCACACCAAGGAGGAGAAAAUCUGCAGUUCUGUCCUCUGAAACACUGAACAGCCAUGCUGUGGAGGACAUAGCUGUUGCUCUCUCACCAUCAAAACAAGCUGAAGACGAAGUUAACAGGCCAGCUGAAACGGCAGCUGAGCCCAGGAAAAAGAAAAGAGACAGAUCGAGUGAAAGCAAGUUAAAAAAGAAAACCCAUGAGAUGGAUGGAGAAGAACAGAAGAGCGAUGGAAAGGAGAGUGUAGCCACAGAACUAAAGAAGGACCAUAAAUCUGUGGAGGAGAAUAAAGAAGUUCAAGUAACAAACAUAGAAUUUGAAGAUGAUCUCAUGGGAAAUAAAGGAGCCAAAGAAAAUGUUUUAGAGUCUAUUUUGAAAGAAAAGAAAGACAAAAAGAGGAAAAAAGAAAGAAAUGAUGAGGAGGAACCAUUAGCUCAUGGAGACGAAGAAAAAAGGGUUAAAAAGAAGAAGAAAAAGAAGAGAGUUGAAAAUGAGGGAGACCCCACUGAGAAAACAAAAGAAAGUGCUGAGCAGGGCUUAGAAAAUGAAAACAUAGUAGACGAAAAGUCUGAGAGUGUUGAAAACAAGAAUGUAAAGAAGAAAAAGAAAUUAGUCGACGCAGAGAUCGGUUCUGAUCAUCCGGAUUUAGAAAAUACAGAAAAAAAUGAUCAAAGCCAGAAAGUAAAGAAGAAGAAGAAAAGAUUAAUCAAUACUGAGAUCAGUUCAGAUGAUCCAGUUACUGAAAAUGUGGAGCAAAAUGUUGAAGAACAUGCUGGAAAUGUGGAAGUGAAGAAGAAGAAGAAAAAAAACAAGACUGUUGAAAAUGAGGAAAAUCCAGAGCAUGUGGCUAAAGAAAAGAAGACAAAGAAGAAAAAACGAGAAGCUCAGGUUCAUGAGGACUCUGAGAUUUCUGAAGAAACGAUCAAGAAAACAAAAAAGGUUAAAAAACACACCGAUAAUGAGACGUCUGAGCAAGCAAAUGAAGACGACCAAACAACAAAUGAGACCAAAGGGAAGGCAAAGAUCUCAGAUGAAACAGAACCAUCUGCUCCCAGCCUGGAGACGAGUGCUCAGAAAAAGAAGAAAAAGAAAAACAAAGAGAAACCAGAGGACGUCCAAGAUGCUUCAGCAACAGAAGCUACGCCAAUAUCCGUCAGCAGCCACAAAAAGAAAAGAAAAUUAUGGAGCGGUGAAGAUGAGGUCCCUAUCACCGAGCAACCAUGAUGCCACUCAGUUUCUGUCCUUUUUUAACCAAGUUUUGAUCCUGUAAAUACAAUUGAACACUUUUAUUUUAAAAUCUUCUGUUUUUUUUGCAUGUUUUAAAUUGUACAUUUUUUGUCAGAUGCUUUUUAUGGAACUUGUGAUUUUAGUGGACGGACAGCAUGAAGAUCUGCUGGUAUUUAUGAGGUUAUUUUCCCUCCUGCUUCAGUCCGAUGCUCAGACUGGAGUCUUUACCACUGAAACAGCUCUUUGUAAAGGUUUUUAGAGUUAUUAGAACAAAUGUUUUUGUCUGUUUUCCAUGAAAAUCUAAAUGUUUUUUACAUUUACGGAAAUGAAAAUAGAUUUUUUUUAAAGAUUUUCUAUUUUUAAUACAUUUUUAGCAACACUUUGAUGGAAUAUAUUGCUUUGUUUAUCAACAAGUAUUGCCCCUCUUCUUUUUCAAAUGUGCAUUCUAUGAAACCUGUGAUUGUAUUACUUUAGCAGGGUGCUGCCAUUUAAGCAAGUUUAACAGAUAAUUUUCCAAGAGAACAACCCAAAAUAAUAAAUAAAGUUUCAUUGAAAAGAUGCUGUUUGCCAGAUAAUUUACACAAGAGACAUGUUAGUACUGUAUCCACAAUAAAGUAAAAACAAGCAACUUAUGUACAGAUUUUGCACUUUAAAAUAGACAAAAAUAAAAUAAAUGCAAUGAAUUAAAGCUAAACUGCUCAGAACAGGACCCUAUAUGUUGCUAUAUUAAUUUAUGAUAAAUCAAGUCAGAGGAGAAAACUAAAUACAGGAGCAGAACAUAUGUAUACAGGCAACCAGGGAUUUGUUGGUGUAGAAAUUCUAAUUUGGAUGCUUUGAUCAGAUAAUGAUGGUAUUCUUCAUGAACAGAUAAAAAGUUGCAUUAAAAUCGAUUUAACGGUUCAUUUUUUUUAAAGCAAGUUUUUAAUAAAGAUAUGUUUUUAUAAUUAGUUUUUGCUUCAUACAUUUCUACACAUUCAGCUUUAAAAUGAGCCAAUCUUCCAACUAUUCAUCCCUUUUAGGGUCACAGGGCUGCCACAGGUUGGGCGAAGGCAGGGUACACCCUGGACUAGGUGAACUAAACUUCUUUUAGUUUUUAUGCAUGAAUCAUGUGUAAUUAAAGUAAUAUAAAAUUCUAAAAAAAAAUGGGACACAGAAGAGGCAUUGAGCAGGAUUGUUUAUCUUACCAUUUGGAUGCAGUUUAUGCAUUAUGUACUUUUAAUAAUGGUACAAAAAAGUAUGUAAAAAACGAGACAUUCUUAUUGCAUGUAACUAUGCUAAAGUAAACAAAUUCCUCUUAAUUCCUAGAAUUUUGAUUUUUUUUUUUUUUUACAUGAUUUCUAUUUAAAAGUCAAUUUAAUUCAAAUGUAAACAAACGUUGCCCUCCCAGGUCAAAGUAGCUGUUUUGUGUUUGGCCGCUAGAUGGUGCUGCCUCCGUGUCGGAAGAUAAAGUUACAACAGCGAAGAAGACUUUAACCGUUUGAAAUGUUUUUGUAAACAAGCUAGCUUCAGUGCAUCGUUAUUGAAGUAACUUAGAUGUAAUAUUUGGUUGUCUUUU